CCUACGGGAGGCUGCAGUGAGGAAUAUUGGUCAAUGGGCGAGAGCCUGAACCAGCCAAGUAGCGUGAAGGAUGACUGCCCUACGGGUUGUAAACUUCUUUUAUAAAGGAAUAAAGUGAGGCACGUGUGCCUUUUUGUAUGUACUUUAUGAAUAAGGAUCGGCUAACUCCGUGCCAGCAGCCGCGGUAAUACGGAGGAUCCGAGCGUUAUCCGGAUUUGUUGGGUUUAAAGGGAGCGUAGAUGGGUUGUUAAGUCAGUUGUGAAAGGUUGCGGCUCAACCGUAAAAUUGCAAUUGAUACUGGCAGUCUUGAGUACAGUUGAGGUAGGCGGAAUUCGUGGGGUAGCGGUGAAAUGCUUAGAUAUCACGAAGAACUCCGAUUGCGAAGGCAGCUUACGAAACUGCCACUGACAUUGAGGGUCGAAAGUGUGGGUAUCAAACAGGAUUAGAUACCCGUGUAGUC
This 460-nucleotide ribosomal RNA is filed under the name uncultured bacterium. RNAcentral describes it as "partial 16S ribosomal RNA". It matches the Rfam family "Bacterial small subunit ribosomal RNA", at positions 338 to 795 of the family's 1533-position model. The record is from RNAcentral.